AUUGAACGCUGGCGGCAUGCUUUACACAUGCAAGUCGAACGGCAGCGCGGGCUUCGGCCUGGCGGCGAGUGGCGAGCGGGUGAGUAAUACAUCGGAACGUGCCCAGUAGUGGGGGAUAGCUCGGCGAAAGCCGGAUUAAUACCGCAUACGACCUGAGGGUGAAAGCGGGGGAUCUUCGGACCUCGCGCUAUUGGAGCGGCCGAUGGCAGAUUAGCUAGUUGGUGGGGUAAAGGCCUACCAAGGCGACGAUCUGUAGCUGGUCUGAGAGGACGACCAGAGAGAGUGGAAUUGAGACAAGGGGCAGACCCCGACGGGAGGCAGCGGGGCGGAUGUUUGGAGAACGGGCGGAAGCAUGCUCCAGUGAGGCGGCGUGGGAGAUGAAGGCCUUCGGGUUGUAAAGCACUUGUGGCGGGAACGAAAAGAACCGUGCGAAUCUCCCGGCUCGAGGACGGUAACAGCAGAAGAAGCACCGGCUAACCUCGUG
RNAcentral lists this ribosomal RNA (484 nucleotides) under uncultured bacterium. RNAcentral describes it as "partial 16S ribosomal RNA". It matches the Rfam family "Bacterial small subunit ribosomal RNA", at positions 29 to 507 of the family's 1533-position model. The record is from RNAcentral.